UGGGGAAUUUUGGACAAUGGGCGCAAGCCUGAUCCAGCCAUGCCGCGUGCGGGAAGAAGGCCUUCGGGUUGUAAACCGCUUUUGUCAGGGAAGAAAUCUUCUGAGUUAAUACCUCGGGAGGAUGACGGUACCUGAAGAAUAAGCACCGGCUAACUACGUGCCAGCAGCCGCGGUAAUACGUAGGGUGCAAGCGUUAAUCGGAAUUACUGGGCGUAAAGCGUGCGCAGGCGGUUUUGUAAGACAGAGGUGAAAUCCCCGGGCUCAACCUGGGAACUGCCUUUGUGACUGCAAGGCUUGAGUGCGGCAGAGGGGGAUGGAAUUCCGCGUGUAGCAGUGAAAUGCGUAGAUAUGCGGAGGAACACCGAUGGCGAAGGCAAUCCCCUGGGCCUGCACUGACGCUCAUGCACGAAAGCGUGGGGAGCAAAA
Molecule: ribosomal RNA, 426 nt
Filed under: uncultured bacterium
Lineage: Bacteria
Description: partial 16S ribosomal RNA
Rfam family: Bacterial small subunit ribosomal RNA
Source: RNAcentral